RNAcentral lists this ribosomal RNA (815 nucleotides) under uncultured bacterium. Its description in RNAcentral is "bacterial SSU rRNA". It matches the Rfam family "Bacterial small subunit ribosomal RNA", at positions 8 to 796 of the family's 1533-position model. The record is from RNAcentral.
AGAGUUUGAUCAUGGCUCAGAACGAACGCUGGCGGCGUGGAUAAGACAUGCAAGUCGAACGCUAAUCAUACUGCAGCAAUGUAGUAUGGUUGGAGUGGCGCAAGGGUGCGUAACACGUGGGUAAUUUGCCGUGAAGACUGGGAUAACUUGCUGAAAGGCGAGCUAAUACCGGAUGUGGAGAUUGGGAGGCAUCUUCUGAUUUCUGAAGUUGGGGACCGUAAGGCCUGACGCUUCACGAUAAGCCCGCGGCCUAUCAGCUAGUUGGUGAGGUAACGGCUCACCAAGGCGAAGACGGGUAGCUGGUCUGAGAGGACGACCAGCCUCACUGGAACUGAGAGACGGUCCAGACACCUACGGGUGGCAGCAGUCGAGAAUUUUUCUCAAUGGGGGAAACCCUGAAGGAGCGACGCCGCGUGGGGGAUGAAUGGCUUCGGCCCGUAAACCCCUGUCAUUUGCGAACAAUGUGUACUAUUUAAAAGAUGGUGCAUUGAUAGUAGCGAAAGAGGAAGGGACGGCUAACUCUGUGCCAGCAGCCGCGGUAAUACAGAGGUCCCGAGCGUUGUUCGGAUUCACUGGGCGUAAAGGGUGCGUAGGUGGUGAGGUAAGUCGGAUGUGAAAUCUCCAAGCUUAACUUGGAAAUGGCAUUGGAAACUACCUUGCUGGAGGUUUGGAGGGGGGACUGGAAUUCUCGGUGUAGCAGUGAAAUGCGUAGAUAUCGAGAGGAACACCAGUGGCGAAGGCGAGUCCCUGGACAAAACCUGACACUGAGGCACGAAAGCUAGGGGAGCAAACAGGAUUAGAUACCCUAGUAGUCC